GCAAGUCGAGCGGUAGAGAGAAGCUUGCUUCUCUUGAGAGCGGCGGACGGGUGAGUAAUGCCUAGGAAUCUGCCUGGUAGUGGGGGAUAACGUUCGGAAACGGACGCUAAUACCGCAUACGUCCUACGGGAGAAAGCAGGGGACCUUCGGGCCUUGCGCUAUCAGAUGAGCCUAGGUCGGAUUAGCUAGUUGGUGGGGUAAUGGCUCACCAAGGCGACGAUCCGUAACUGGUCUGAGAGGAUGAUCAGUCACACUGGAACUGAGACACGGUCCAGACUCCUACGGGAGGCAGCAGUGGGGAAUAUUGGACAAUGGGCGAAAGCCUGAUCCAGCCAUGCCGCGUGUGUGAAGAAGGUCUUCGGAUUGUAAAGCACUUUAAGUUGGGAGGAAGGGUUGUAGAUUAAUACUCUGCAAUUUUGACGUUACCGACAGAAUAAGCACCGGCUAACUCUGUGCCAGCAGCCGCGGUAAUACAGAGGGU
This 481-nucleotide ribosomal RNA is filed under the name uncultured earthworm cast bacterium. RNAcentral's name for it is "bacterial SSU rRNA". It matches the Rfam family "Bacterial small subunit ribosomal RNA", at positions 57 to 533 of the family's 1533-position model. The record is from RNAcentral.